GGACAUUGUCUACUUGACUGCUAGCCACAUACCUUUCUUGGCAGUAUGACAGGAGCCAGGGGUCCAGGAUAAAACACCUUCUCUCCCAUGCAGGUGGAAAUUACUACCCAUUGGGUCCCAAGACCUAGGCUGGACGCUCGACUGGAGACCAAGCUGUCUGUGCAUAGCCCAUUGCCCCACACACCACCACUUCACAGGUGGACCUUCUUGCUACUAUCCUCUAAGUGUUAAGAUGACAGGCAUGCACCACCACACCCAUCUCAGUGGUUUUUCUCUGGAGGCAAGAAGACUUGGACAAGGAGAUAGCACAUGGACUAGCACGGAAUGCUAUGUCCUGUGCCCAACGGCUGAUGUUUGGGGAGAACAGAUGGUGGAUGUAUGAAUUCAUUCCUUGUUGAGGGUUUUCUGCCUACUCUUCCUGUCUGCCUGCCACUGCUUCUGGGAUCAGUCUGGCAAAAGGCCCAGCUGGUCAAGUGUACAAGCAGUGGCCUGCAUGUCAGCCUUGAGGCAUGCAGUUUCAGAUUCCAGAGGUUUGCUGCUGGCUCCUAGCCCUGCUGACUCAACUUGGGGGUUUUUCAGUCAAUUUGCCCUAAGGGUCUUCUUGUCAGACAGGUUUUCUGUGUCAGGCUCCUCUUCCUAGCAGGCUACAGGGGAACUGUCAGAAAAAGGAAUAUCCAUGCAAACUUGUUGAAUAAAAACUUAACCAGGCAGCAUAAACAAGGAAAGUUGUCUGCCCC
Molecule: long non-coding RNA, 737 nt
Filed under: Mus caroli (Ryukyu mouse)
Lineage: Eukaryota; Metazoa; Chordata; Mammalia; Rodentia; Muridae
Description: RIKEN cDNA 4931413I07 gene (MGP_CAROLIEiJ_G0005200.1)
Source: RNAcentral